RNAcentral lists this unclassified non-coding RNA (302 nucleotides) under uncultured fungus. RNAcentral describes it as "partial contains 5.8S ribosomal RNA, internal transcribed spacer 2, and large subunit ribosomal RNA". The stretch from base 1 to 52 matches the Rfam family "5.8S ribosomal RNA", at positions 103 to 154 of the family's 154-position model. The record is from RNAcentral. Lineage: Eukaryota; Fungi.
AACGCACCUUGCGCUCCUUGGUAUUCCGAGGAGCAUGCCUGUUUGAGUGUCAUUAAAUUCUCAACCUUUCCAGCUUUUGUGAGCUGUGAUAAGGCUUGGAUAUUGGGAGCUUGCGGGCCUGUAGAAGGUCGGCUCUCCUGAAAUACAUUAGCGGAACCGUUUGCAGUCCCGUCACUAGUGUGAUAAUUAUCUACACUGUGAUGACUGCUCUCUAGUUUGUUCAGCUGCUAAUCGUCCAUUACUGGACAACGCUUAAUGAACCUCUUGACCUCAAAUCAGGUAGGACUACCCGCUGAACUUAA